This 1090-nucleotide long non-coding RNA is filed under the name Cricetulus griseus (Chinese hamster). Its description in RNAcentral is "lncRNA (ENSCGRG00000024561.1)". The record is from RNAcentral. Lineage: Eukaryota; Metazoa; Chordata; Mammalia; Rodentia; Cricetidae.
UGAAAUUUGAAUGCAUGUGGAUGACUUCAUUACAUCAUUGUUUAACUUGACCCAAAGAAGCAAGGGUGAGGGCUGAAGAGAUGGCUCAGCAGUUAAGAGCACUAGUGGCUCUCCCAUAGGUCCUGAGUUCAAUUCCCACCAACCACAUGGUGGCUCAUAGCCAUCCAUAAUGAGAUCUGGUGCCCUGCAUAUGCAUAUACACAGGCAGAACACAGAAUAGACAAAUAAAUAAAUCCUAAAAAAACAAGGGUGAGCCUCAAGUAUUGUGAGAGGCUCAAGUCUGAGAUUAAAUGCAGUAACUUGAAAGAAUGUAAGUAAAAUCUGGGGUUGUCUGGUUAGAAGGCAGUAACUGGAGUAUCUUUGGAUUUUCUAGCUCGCUAGAAAUUUGUAAUAAAGGCAACCUUGUCUUACUUGUUAGUAAUAAAUACACAAAAUAGAUUAAAAAGGGGGAAGGGAAUUGAGAAUCUCCAAUUAUGAGCCUGAGAGUCUGCUCAGAUGAAUGGCAUUGGUAACUAACAUGAGGUAGCUUGCCCUAGCUAUCUGUCUAAACAGAUAAAAACAUGAUUAACCAGGAUAGUGGUUUGAAAGGGUGGUUCCCAGGGCAUUGUAUUCAGCAUGAGCUGGGAUUAUGUCAAAAAUGCAAAUUUUCAGGCCCUACCCAAGAAUACUAAAUAACAGAUCCUGGGAAGGCCCGAAUUGUUGUCUUAAAAUAUCCAGGACAUUUUGAUGCUCAGUUAAGUUUUAAAAUUGGCUCAGGCCUAGUCAGAUUAAUAUUUUUUUCUCUGACAAGAAUUUGGACUGAGACAUAUAAGAGUCAGUCUGCUGGCUGUGGGAAGGCUAAACAUUGGCUAAAAGGAGAUUAUGAGUAAGCUGAACUUAUGAGUAAGCCGAAGGUAUGAGUAAAGGGUGCCUGGCUCAUAGUCACAGAGACAGCGAGGGACAGCAACACACACCCUCAUGAGUCGGAGACAGCUCAGACCAGGAUGUUCCUUACAGCAGAGAAACUGUACAAAGCCCCGGUCAUUGCUGUCUGCUGAGCCAGAGGCUCCCUGCUCAUACCCAGCCCUUUCUACUGCUUCCCCAUAAUUAA